RNAcentral lists this ribosomal RNA (467 nucleotides) under uncultured bacterium. Its description in RNAcentral is "partial 16S ribosomal RNA". It matches the Rfam family "Bacterial small subunit ribosomal RNA", at positions 28 to 506 of the family's 1533-position model. The record is from RNAcentral.
GACGAACGCUGGCGGCGUGCUUAACACAUGCAAGUCGAACGGAAAGGCCCUGCUUUUGUGGGGUGCUCGAGUGGCGAACGGGUGAGUAACACGUGAGUAACCUGCCCUUGACUUUGGGAUAACUUCAGGAAACUGGGGCUAAUACCGGAUAGGAGCUCCUGCUGCAUGGUGGGGGUUGGAAAGUUUCGGCGGUUGGGGAUGGACUCGCGGCUUAUCAGCUUGUUGGUGGGGUAGUGGCUUACCAAGGCUUUGACGGGUAGCCGGCCUGAGAGGGUGACCGGCCACAUUGGGACUGAGAUACGGCCCAGGCUCCUACGGGAGGCAGCAGUGGGGAAUAUUGCACAAUGGGCGGAAGCCUGAUGCAGCAACGCCGCGUGCGGGAUGACGGCCUUCGGGUUGUAAACCGCUUUCGCCUGCGACGAAGCGUGAGGGACGGUAAUGGGUAAAGAAGCACCGGCUAACUACGU